GACGAACGCUGGCGGCGUGCUUAACACAUGCAAGUCGAACGGAAAGGCCCUGCUUUUGUGGGGUGCUCGAGUGGCGAACGGGUGAGUAACACGUGAGUAACCUGCCCUUGACUUUGGGAUAACUUCAGGAAACUGGGGCUAAUACCGGAUAGGAGCUCCUGCUGCAUGGUGGGGGUUGGAAAGUUUCGGCGGUUGGGGAUGGACUCGCGGCUUAUCAGCUUGUUGGUGGGGUAGUGGCUUACCAAGGCUUUGACGGGUAGCCGGCCUGAGAGGGUGACCGGCCACAUUGGGACUGAGAGACGGCCCAGACUCCUACGGGAGGCAGCAGUCGGGAAUAUUGCACAAUGGGCGGACGCGUGAUGCAGCAACGCCGCGUGCGGGAUGACGGCCUUCGGGGUGUAAACCGCUUUCGCCUGUGACGAAGCGUGAGUGACGGUAAUGGGUAAAGAAGCACCGGCUAACUACGUG
Molecule: ribosomal RNA, 468 nt
Filed under: uncultured bacterium
Lineage: Bacteria
Description: partial 16S ribosomal RNA
Rfam family: Bacterial small subunit ribosomal RNA
Source: RNAcentral